This 505-nucleotide ribosomal RNA is filed under the name uncultured microorganism. RNAcentral describes it as "bacterial SSU rRNA". It matches the Rfam family "Bacterial small subunit ribosomal RNA", at positions 9 to 527 of the family's 1533-position model. The record is from RNAcentral.
GAGUUUGAUCAUGGCUCAGGACGAACGCUGGCGGCGUGCCUAACACAUGCAAGUCGAACGAAGCUAGAAGAGCUUGCUCUUCGAUGCUUAGUGGCGGACGGGUGAGUAACGCGUGAGUAACCUGCCUUUCAGAGGGGAAUAACGUUCUGAAAAGAACGCUAAUACCGCAUAACGUGCAGCAGUCGCAUGGCAGCAGCACCAAAGGAGCAAUCCGCUGAGAGAUGGACUCGCGUCCGAUUAGCUAGUUGGUGGGUAAAGGCCUACCAAGGCGACGAUCGGUAGCCGGACUGAGAGGUUGUAACGGCCACAUUGGGACUGAGACACGGCCCAGACUCCUACGGGAGGCAGCAGUGGGGGAUAUUGCACAAUGGAGGGAACUCUGAUGCAGCAACGCCGCGUGUGGGAAGAAGGUUUUCGGAUUGUAAACCACUGUUCUUGGUGAAGAUAAUGACGGUAGCCAAGGAGAAAGCUCCGGCUAACUACGUGCCAGCAGCGCCGUAAGACC